UACGUAGGGUGCGAGCGUUGUCCGGAAUUAUUGGGCGUAAAGAGCUCGUAGGCGGUCUGUCGCGUCGAUCGUGAAAACUUGGGGCUUAACCCUGAGCUUGCGGUCGAUACGGGCAUGACUGGAGUUCGGCAGGGGAGACUGGAAUUCCUGGUGUAGCGGUGAAAUGCGCAGAUAUCAGGAGGAACACCGGUGGCGAAGGCGACUACCUGGCCUGUUCUUGACGCUGAGGCGCGAAAGCUAGGGGAGCAAACGGG
Molecule: ribosomal RNA, 254 nt
Filed under: uncultured bacterium
Lineage: Bacteria
Description: partial 16S ribosomal RNA
Rfam family: Bacterial small subunit ribosomal RNA
Source: RNAcentral